GAUGAACGCUAGCUACAGGCUUAACACAUGCAAGUCGAGGGGCAGCAUGAAGUUUGCUUGCAAACUUUGAUGGCGACCGGCGCACGGGUGAGUAACGCGUAUCCAACCUGCCCCGUACUCGGGUAUAGCCCAGCGAAAGCUGGAUUAAUCCCCGAUGUCACCUUUAUGGUGCAUGCCAUAUUGGUUAAUGAAACUAAAGAUUUAUCGGUAUCGGAUGGGGAUGCGUGACAUUAGAUAGUAGGCGGGGUAACAGCCCACCUAGUCUACGAUGUCUAGGGGUUCUGAGAGGAAGGUCCCCCACACUGGAACUGAGACACGGUCCAGACUCCUACGGGAGGCAGCAGUGGGGAAUAUUGGGCAAUGGGGGAAACCCUGACCCAGCAACGCCGCGUGAAGGAAGAAGGCCUUCGGGUUGUAAACUUCUUUUACCAGGGACGAAGAACGUGACGGUACCUGGAGAAAAAGCAACGGCUAACUACGUG
Molecule: ribosomal RNA, 482 nt
Filed under: uncultured bacterium
Lineage: Bacteria
Description: bacterial SSU rRNA
Rfam family: Bacterial small subunit ribosomal RNA
Source: RNAcentral